UCCCUGCUGGCUCAGAGAGUAAAGCGUGUGUCUACAAUGCAGGAGACCCGGGUUCGAUCCCUGGGUUGGGAA
RNAcentral lists this transfer RNA (72 nucleotides) under Bos taurus (domestic cattle). It matches the Rfam family "tRNA". Rfam says of the family: Transfer RNA (tRNA) molecules are approximately 80 nucleotides in length. Their secondary structure includes four short double-helical elements and three loops (D, anti-codon, and T loops). The record is from Rfam by way of RNAcentral. RNAcentral also lists the same sequence under 1 other name. Lineage: Eukaryota; Metazoa; Chordata; Mammalia; Artiodactyla; Bovidae.